UAGGGAAUCUUGCGCAAUGGGCGAAAGCCUGACGCAGCAACGCCGCGUGGGGGAUGAAGGCUCUCGGGUUGUAAACCCCUUUCGACAGGGACGAAAUUGACGGUACCUGUGGAAGAAGCCCCGGCCAACUACGUGCCAGCAGCCGCGGUAAUACGUAGGGGGCGAGCGUUGUCCGGAUUUAUUGGGCGUAAAGAGCUCGUAGGCGGCUUGGCAAGUCGGGUGUGAAAACUCCAGGCUCAACCUGGAGACGCCACUCGAUACUGCCAUGGCUAGAGUCCGGUAGGGGACCACGGAAUUCCUGGUGUAGCGGUGAAAUGCGCAGAUAUCAGGAGGAACACCGGUGGCGAAGGCGGUGGUCUGGGCCGGAACUGACGCUGAGGAGCGAAAGCGUGGGGAGCGAACAGG
RNAcentral lists this ribosomal RNA (405 nucleotides) under uncultured Acidimicrobiia bacterium. RNAcentral's name for it is "bacterial SSU rRNA". It matches the Rfam family "Bacterial small subunit ribosomal RNA", at positions 355 to 776 of the family's 1533-position model. Lineage: Bacteria; Bacillati; Actinomycetota; Acidimicrobiia. The record is from RNAcentral.